UUUCAUUCGACCGCCGCGCCGCCGAACGGGCACGACGUGUUCCUAAAGUAAAGCGAAAUUAUAUAUUUGUAAUAGAAUUGCGUAUAUUAAUUAAAAAGAAAAAAUAAAGUGAAUCAAAUAAAGCAAAUAUUAUACAUUAACCAAAUUAGAAACAAUAAAUUACGUCCAAUACACUCAACAACAUCCAUAGUAAAUAAUAGAAACGUGCAGUCGUUUGAAAACCCCAAUAAACAAUCCAUGAGACCAUGCAAACAUUACCCGAAGGAAAAUAAUAAUAAUCAUGACAAAGGUUGUGUCGCCGCAUCCAGCCCGCUAGGAGGACUCCGCCACGUUGACGUGUCGAAACCAAUUAGACUACGAAACGGCGGCGGCAAAUCGUUCCAGCACUUGGAUGCGGCGAACCUGAAACUGCCACGGAAAGCGGUGGUGCGGUGACGAGGCACCGCGAGUGAGUAGUACGACGCACGGGUCCUGGCAGCAGUCACGUCGCGGGACCAAACCAGUUUGUCCGCAAGAUAUGGCGGUAAUUUAAAAUUAACUAUUCCGAACAUCAGCGUUGCAAAAUGAAACUGUCUGCGAUAUUUCAUUUUUAGGAUUCUAGCCUUGUUUAUGUAAGGUGUUACGUGUGUGCGGGGAGGAAUUUUGAAGCAGAAUCUAGCGCAAGCAUUCUGUACUCUCUGAACCAGUUUUUGUGAGCGCGCCAGAAGCCGAGGCCCAUACACAGCGUCCAUAUAAUUAAACUUAGAGAGAAUUAAAGA
This 758-nucleotide long non-coding RNA is filed under the name Pectinophora gossypiella (pink bollworm). RNAcentral describes it as "uncharacterized LOC126374053". Lineage: Eukaryota; Metazoa; Arthropoda; Insecta; Lepidoptera; Gelechiidae. The record is from RNAcentral.